This 253-nucleotide ribosomal RNA is filed under the name uncultured bacterium. RNAcentral describes it as "partial 16S ribosomal RNA". It matches the Rfam family "Bacterial small subunit ribosomal RNA", at positions 524 to 776 of the family's 1533-position model. The record is from RNAcentral.
UACAGAGGUCUCAAGCGUUGUUCGGAUUCAUUGGGCGUAAAGGGUGCGUAGGCGGCGCGGUAAGUCGGGUGUGAAAUCUCGGAGCUUAACUCCGAAACUGCAUUCGAUACUGCCGUGCUUGAGGACUGGAGAGGAGACUGGAAUUUCCUGUGUAGCGGUGAAAUGCGUAGAUAUAGGAAGGAAUACCAGUGGCGAAGGCGGCCUCCUGGAUCGAUACUGACGCUGAGGCGCGAAAGCGUGGGGAGCAAACAGG